RNAcentral lists this ribosomal RNA (2391 nucleotides) under Triticum aestivum (bread wheat). RNAcentral's name for it is "partial small subunit ribosomal RNA". The record is from RNAcentral. Lineage: Eukaryota; Viridiplantae; Streptophyta; Magnoliopsida; Poales; Poaceae.
CAGAAAUCCGAACCCCGACCUCUCCUCUCGCAGGGCUGAGCAGAGCGAGCAGCCCAUCUUUGGGAUCGAAGCAUAUUUGGGUUUGGGGGCGGAGCGGCCUCGCCGACGUCGUCGUCGGCCUCCGCGGCCGCCGGUACCUGCGCUACGCCUUCGUCGACCUGCACGAGUACCCCCGGUUGGCGUUGCCGCUGCACGCCCUCCAGUUGGCGUUCAUGAAGCUGGCGCUGCAGACGGCGGAGAAGGAGCGGCCUGAGACGGGGGUGCUGGAGAAGGUCGAGUGCUUUUACCUAGAGCCUGGGACGGGGUUCCAGGUGAGCGACGUCGACGCCUUUCUGAUGCUCCUCCAUUUUCGUUUCCCCUGCCUCUUAAAGCUGUCCCUCGAGCUCCUGUACUAUCUGUCCGAGUAGCACCUCACGCUCGCGUUUUAGGUCUCCCGCGAGUUUGCGGAGCGGCUACUCCUACGGUUCCGACGAUAGCGGUAUAGGCAGAGGCUCCAGUGAGUCAGACUUCUUCAACGCGUCGACAGUUUCCUUUAGUUCCUCUUUUACUUUCUUCGGCUAUAGAAACUAAAACUUCCCUUCUGACUACUAUUUUAGUUCUGGUACCUUAACCACCUUCUUAAUUCUAGAUUUUCCCGACUGAACGUCCGAUGGGAGAACGAACUACGGAAAUUGUUCCUGGCUCGACGUUAUGGAGUUGGAUAAGGUGGUGGAGUUUACCGUUGUGACGGUCGUGGAGGAGGAGGACUACGAGCAUGAGUUCUUGACUAGUUACUCUUCGAUUCAUUUCGACUUCGGGAACCACUCGUUCCCUACCAUCUUCUUCGUGUCUUUCGAAAUCUUCUUCGUCUUCGAGAGUUUUUCAACCGCCGCCGUGCCGUCCUCGGACAAGGACUAGGAAGAUUUAUGUCACAACGACUACAAGCUUAAUGACUAGUCUUUAACGCGGAGACACUGUAUACACCUCGUAAAAACUCACAGAUACUGUUACUGGCUGCAGAACGACUGGUAAAACCUCCCUUCGAUGUGAACCCAAUAUACAACUAAGCACUCUUUGACUUUCUUGAGGUCCACGACUUACAUUACAGGGUAAAAGACGAAAUUUCUCAAUGAGACAAAACCCGGAAAACCGUAGACACUCAAAAGAAUAGAGUUCCUUCUCGGAAGUCCAAGAACGGAAGAUAUAUACAAUAAAAUAGAGUGUAACCUCCCGCGGUACCAACAAUGCUAUCAGUAAUGUCCUUAAUCAGUUACAACGUAUUCGCCUUAGAGUACACUGUUAGCAGGAGGAAGGAAGGGUACCGUUGUUGUCGGCGGUUGACAUACAACUGUUUACAUUCGUAUCCUCACUCGUCUUGUACCAUACCUCUUAGUACAAAUGAAUUAACACAGUCGAAAGAGUAUAUAUGACUAGUCUUCGACCUCGAACGAAAGACGAACCACUAGGUAUAAAACAUCUCGACCACUAUUUAUCAUGGCCAAUUCAAUGGGACUUUCGCGUGGGAAAACGGUAGAAAAGGACAUUCAAUGUUGGACAAGUAUACGACGGACGAGGUAUUUAUACAUUCAACAGUAACAGUCUUUUAGAGUUGACAUUACAUAGGGAACGGAAAAAGUAAGGCAGCAGUAUACUUAGCUCGAUAGAGGUGAGCCAUUCGUACAGAUAUAACACUUAUUACAGUAAGAUUUUGAUACAGUAUAAACGGAAAAUCCUCCUCUCCUUGUUUUUUUCCUGGCUCUUUGGACUUCUACUGUCUGCUAGUUCCCUUUUGUCGUCCCUGGCGUUACCCGCCCGUAGGUCCCUAUCUCUACGUCUUUCUUUCCUGUCCCAACUCGGGGCCCUAUCGUCUUCUCUGGUGCUAUCCCUAGCACUAUCCGCGGUACUGUCCCUGGCAGCGGUACUGGCGCUGGCACUAUCUCUAGUACUGGCGAGGAGGGCACCAUCUCUCGUACUGGCACUAUCCUCUUCCCUUGCGAGAGCUAGGUCCCUGGCGUCGUCCGCGGUACUUUCUAUAACUUAGACAACGAGGUCCCAUGAGAGCAGAAGGACGUACUAUCACUACCACGACAAAUUCUACAUACCACUCCAACGCGAAACAUGACCUCUUUCCUUCUAUCAGAACUACAAACAGAAGUGACGACCUAACAAUCACUUUUGGGACACACAAAAUACGGUAGAAAAGACAAUAGACUGGACUACACCACAUGUUCUUAUAUGACAAAAUAUACAAUGGUUGUUACAUACUCAAAGCACAAUGAGUUCGGAGGAACCCGGGUCAACAAUUUGAGUGUACACUGUUAUAAACAUUAAACGAAUAGAACACUACCGUACCUCGAUUAAAAGACAGAACACACCAAGUACCCACUUUCUUAAAUUGUACGGACCAAUCAC